CCUACGGGUGGCUGCAGUGGGGAAUAUUGCACAAUGGGCGCAAGCCUGAUGCAGCUAUGCCGCGUGUGUGAAGAAGGCCUUCGGGUUGUAAAGCACUUUCAGCGGGGAGGAAGGCGUUAAGGUUAAUAACCUUGGCGAUUGACGUUACCCGCAGAAGAAGCACCGGCUAACUCCGUGCCAGCAGCCGCGGUAAUACGGAGGGUGCAAGCGUUAAUCGGAAUUACUGGGCGUAAAGCGCACGCAGGCGGUCUGUCAAGUCGGAUGUGAAAUCCCCGGGCUCAACCUGGGAACUGCAUUCGAAACUGGCAGGCUAGAGUCUGGUAGAGGGGGGUAGAAUUCCAGGUGUAGCGGUGAAAUGCGUAGAGAUCUGGAGGAAUACCGGUGGCGAAGGCGGCCCCCUGGACAAAGACUGACGCUCAGGUGCGAAAGCGUGGGGAGCAAACAGGAUUAGAUACCCGGGUAGUC
Molecule: ribosomal RNA, 465 nt
Filed under: uncultured Klebsiella sp.
Lineage: Bacteria; Pseudomonadati; Pseudomonadota; Gammaproteobacteria; Enterobacterales; Enterobacteriaceae
Description: bacterial SSU rRNA
Rfam family: Bacterial small subunit ribosomal RNA
Source: RNAcentral